This 1359-nucleotide ribosomal RNA is filed under the name Argonauta argo. RNAcentral's name for it is "large subunit ribosomal RNA". The stretch from base 886 to 1247 matches the Rfam family "Eukaryotic large subunit ribosomal RNA", at positions 2391 to 3003 of the family's 3401-position model. The record is from RNAcentral. Lineage: Eukaryota; Metazoa; Mollusca; Cephalopoda; Octopoda; Argonautidae.
GAAUUAAGUUUUAUUUAUAAAUUUUUAAAGUUAUAUUUAUAAGAAAUAGAAAAAAUAAAAUUUUUUAGUAUUAGGAUUAGAAAAUAGAAAAAAUUUUUUUAUGUACUGAAAAGGAAAAUAUUAUUUUUAUUUUAGUAAAAUUGGAAAUUUGUACCUUUUGCAUAAUGGGUUAAUAAUAUUUAAUGAUGUAUAAUAAAAAUCUCGAAAUAAAAAGAUUUAUCUAUUAUAUAUAUAUAUAUAUAUAUAUAUAUAUAUAUAUAUUUAGUUAACGUUGUAAAGUUAUUAAAUUAAUAAUAGAUGGUAGUGAAAUGCUAUACGAUUUUUAUGGUAGCUAGUUUAUUAAUAAUAACAUUUUAGUGUUAAGUACUAUUUUUUUAUAAUUAAUAAAAUAGUAUUUUAUAUAUAGGGGAUAAGCUCUAUAUAAUUAUAGGAAUUGAUAUAAAUAUAUAAUUUAAGUUUUAUUAAUAUUUUUCUUUUUGAUUAUAAAAUUUAAUAUGGUUCUUUAAAUUAGUUAAUAAAUUUUUUUUAAUUAUUAUGAAAAAAUUAUAAUGUUAAUAUGAGUAGAUAGAAAUAAUGAUAUUAAUUACAAAAUAUAAUAUUUUUUAAUUAUUAUAUUAAUAUUUAUUUAUUUUAUUUAAGUAAUAUAAAGGAAUUCAGCAAAUACUAAUUUCGCCUGUUUAACAAAAACAUGUCUCUUUGAGUGAAGAUAAUAAAGAGUUGGGCCUGCUCGGUGAAUAAAUUUUAACAGCUGCGGUUUAAUAUCUGUACUAAGGUAGCAUAAUAAUUUGUCUUAUAAAUUGAGACUAGAAUGAAUGGUUUGACGAAAAUUAUACUGUCUCUAUUAUAUUUUUUUGAAAUUAAUUUUUAAAGUGAAAAAGCUUAAAUUUUUUAAAGGGACGAGAAGACCCUAUUGAGCUUAUAUUAAUAAGAUAAUAUAAUAAAUUUAUUAUUUUUUUUUAAUUUUGGUUGGGGUGAUCAAGGAAAUAAAAAUAAAUAACUUCCUUAAUUAUAUUUAUCUGUUAGGAUAAUAAACAAAAUGUAUUUCUUUUAUGAUAAGUUACCAUAGGGAUAACAGCGUAAUUUCUUUUGAGAGUUCUUAUUAAAAAAGAAGAUUGCGACCUCGAUGUUGGAUUAAAAUUAACCUUAAGGUGGAGAAGCUUUAUUUGGUAAAUCUGUUCGAUUUUUAAAAUUUUACAUGAUCUGAGUUCAAACCGGUGUAAGCCAGGUUGGUUUUUAUCUUUUAAAAAUUAUGUUAUAUUUAAUUUAGUACGAAAGGAAUAAUUAGAAAUAAUUAUAAUAGAAUUAUUUAAGAUAAUAUAUAAAGUUGGCAGAAUAUAUGCAAAUAAUUUAGAAUUAUUU